Molecule: long non-coding RNA, 1762 nt
Filed under: Homo sapiens (human)
Lineage: Eukaryota; Metazoa; Chordata; Mammalia; Primates; Hominidae
Description: non-protein coding lnc-ZNF385C-6:1
Source: RNAcentral
UUUUUUUUUUUUUUUUUUUUAAGCAAGCCCCCAACACCAUAGAAAAUUCUUGAUUUGCUCGGAGGAUAAUUGGAUGAAGGAUUAUUUUCUUCUUUGUUUAUGUGCAAGAAAUGAAAAUAAGGAAUUGCUUUGAUCAGACAACUUCUUAUCUUUGUGGUAGAAACAGAACUGCCCUUCUUGGAGUGGCUCUGCCUCUGAGAUCACUACAGGGGAGACAGCAUGCCCUGUUCAGCUGGCUGAAUAUUUGGCAACAAUCUCCUGAAGCAGCUGGAAUUGACAAGAAGUACUGGAGAUUAGCUCGGGCCAAACCCUUACAUCUGGCCUGACUACUGCUGCAGUCUGCCUCAACUUACCCCUAAAGCUGGGGAGAUGCCACCCACCCACAUCUUUGCUACACAUGCCAUCAUGAGCUAGAGUUCACCCUUUCUCCUUAAAGCCCUAUUUACUUUUCUACUUCAACUUUAAAACAAAAUUAAAAUGUGAGGAUAUCCCUGAAUUUUAAAAAGCAUGAAGUAAAAAUGCAAAUUAGUAUAGUUUGUUUAAUACAUUACAUAUAGACCUAAAGAAAGUUCAUCAGGGUUAAUCAUUUGUCACAUCAUUCUAUACCCAGGGCUAUCAGCUAUCAAUUUUCCUUUUUUUUUUUUUUUUAAUUCAGGAUCCAGCUCUGUCACCCAGGCUGGAGUGCAGUAUCAAAGUAUCAUUUCUCUUACUUCAAAUUAUUACAUUUUAUUCUGUACAUUGAUUCUGAACUCCUAAUAUAAUAUUUAUGUCCUGUAUUUGCAGGCCAUUGGUUUUUUUAAAGUCAUAAAUCAAAAUGAUGCCAGAAAAUCAAAGAUGCCCAAGAUGUUGGGCUUCUCUUUUGCCAGCCACAUUGGUAGCACUCUCCUGCCCUGGCCUCCAAGCUGGUGGGGAUCUGUGAUGUUUGUGAAAAUGGGCUUAUGCCAGGCGCAGUGGCUCACGCCUAUAAUCCCAGCACUUUGGGAGGCCGAGGCGGGCAGAUCGGUUCAGGUCAGGAGAUCGAGACCAGCCUGGCCAACAUGGUGAAACCCCAUCUCUACUAAAAAUACAAAAAAUUAGCCAGGUGUGGUGGCACAUGCCUGUAAUCCCAGCUACUCAGGAGGCUGAGGCAGGAGAAUCACUUGAAACCUGGGAGGCGGAGGUUGCAGUGAGCAGAGAUCGUGCCAUUACACUCCAGCCUGGGCUACAGAGUGAGACUCUGUGUCAAAAAAAAAAAAGAAAGAAAAUGGGCUUGUGUGGUAGCAGGUAAGAAAUUGAAUCUCUGUUGUACAGCAGCUAGCUGUACUGCAUGAUCACUUCCCAUUCCCCAGCUGACAGUGGCUGUCUCUGGAACUCCUACCACAGUCUUCAAUUGGUAGGCCAGCCCUGGUGCCAGUGAUUUUAUCUGGGCAUGGAAAAUGCCACUUGCUUCUGUGGAAGAGACACUUAAAAGAUCUGGCAGUCGGCCGGGUGCGGUGGCUCACGCCUAUAAUCCCAACACUCUGGGAGGUCAAGGCAGGCGGAUCACGAGGUCAGGAGAUGGAGACCAUCCUGGCUAACACGGUGAAACCCUGUCUCUACUAAAAAAAAAAAUAAAAAAUUAGCUGGGCGAGGUGGCGGGCGCCUGUAGUCCCAGCUACUCUGGAGGCUGAGGCAGGAGAAUGGCGUGAACCCAGGAGGCGGAGCUUGCAGUGAUCCGAGAUCACACCACUGCACUGCAGUCUGGGCAACAGAGCGAGACUCCAUCUCAAAAAAAAAAAAAAAA